This 164-nucleotide ribosomal RNA is filed under the name uncultured bacterium. Its description in RNAcentral is "partial 16S ribosomal RNA". It matches the Rfam family "Bacterial small subunit ribosomal RNA", at positions 329 to 505 of the family's 1533-position model. The record is from RNAcentral.
GCCCAGACUCCUACGGGAGGCAGCAGUGGGGAAUAUUGCACAAUGGGCGCAAGCCUGAUGCAGCGACGCCGCGUGGGGGAUGAAGGCCUUCGGGUUGUAAACCCCUUUCAGCAGGGAAGAAGCGAAAGUGACGGUACCUGCAGAAGAAGCGCCGGCUAACUACG